RNAcentral lists this ribosomal RNA (481 nucleotides) under uncultured bacterium. Its description in RNAcentral is "bacterial SSU rRNA". It matches the Rfam family "Bacterial small subunit ribosomal RNA", at positions 25 to 518 of the family's 1533-position model. The record is from RNAcentral.
CAGGACGAACGCUGGCGGCGUGCCUAACACAUGCAAGUCGAACGGAGCUAGGAAGCUUGCUUCCGGAGCUAGUGGCGGACGGGUGAGUAACACGUGAGUAACCUGCCUUUCAGAGGGGAAUAAUGUUUGGAAACGGACACUAAUACCGCAUAAUAUAUUUUAAUCGCAUGAUUGAAAUAUCAAAGGAGCAAUCCGCUGAAAGAUGGACUCGCGUCUGAUUAGCCAGUUGGCGGGGUAACGGCCCACCAAAGCGACGAUCAGUAGCCGGACUGAGAGGUUGAACGGCCACAUUGGGACUGAGAUACGGCCCAGACUCCUACGGGAGGCAGCAGUGGGGAAUAUUGGGCAAUGGGCGCCAAGCCUGACCCAGCAACGCCGCGUGAAGGAAGAAGGCUUUCGGGUUGUAAACUUCUUUUGAGAGGGAAGAGGAGAAGACGGUACCUCUUGAAUAAGCCGCGGCUAACUACGUGCCAGCCGCAGC